GAGUUUGAUCAUGGCUCAGGACGAACGCUGGCGGCGCGCCUAACACAUGCAAGUCGAACGGAGCUUGUUUGUUUGAUUCUUUCGGGAUGACGACUUAUAAGCUUAGUGGCGAACGGGUGAGUAACACGUGAGUAACCUGCCCCAGAGUGGGGGACAACAGUUGGAAACGACUGCUAAUACCGCAUAAGCCCACAGCACCGCAUGGUGCAGAGGGAAAAGGAGCAAUUCGCUUCAGGAUGGCCUCGCGUCCAAUUAGGUAGAUGGUGAGGUAACGGCCCACCAUGCCGACGAUUGGUAGCCGGACUGAGAGGUUGAACGGCCACAUUGGGACUGAGACACGGCCCAGACUCCUACGGGAGGCAGCAGUGGGGAAUAUUGCAACAAGUGGGGGAAACCCUGAUGCAGCGACGCCGCGUGGAGGAAG
RNAcentral lists this ribosomal RNA (424 nucleotides) under uncultured bacterium. RNAcentral's name for it is "bacterial SSU rRNA". It matches the Rfam family "Bacterial small subunit ribosomal RNA", at positions 9 to 410 of the family's 1533-position model. The record is from RNAcentral.